This 379-nucleotide ribosomal RNA is filed under the name Draconarius sp. CL078. Its description in RNAcentral is "partial 16S ribosomal RNA". Lineage: Eukaryota; Metazoa; Arthropoda; Arachnida; Araneae; Agelenidae. The record is from RNAcentral.
CUCAAUGAAAUUCUAAAUAGCCGCAAUUCAAUUGUGCUAAGGUAGCAUAAUCAUUUGUCUUUUAAUUAAAGACUAGAAUGAAAGAUUUAAUAUUUUCACUUCUUUAUAAAAUGUUCUUUUCAAACUUAUUUUAAAUAUAAUAAAAUAUUUAUUUAUUUAAAAGACGACAAGACCCUAUUGAACUUAACUUAAGUUCAACUGGGGUAGUUAAUUAAAUAUAAUUUUAAUUUAAAUUUAGAAAAAAUCUAUCAUAGUAAAAUUAUAUUAAGUUACCAUAGGGAUAACAGCGUAAUAAUUUUCUUAAGAUCUUAUUUCAAAAAUUGUUUGCGACCUCGAUGUUGAAUUAAUAUUCUACUAAAUGCAAUAAUUUAGCAAGAAA